RNAcentral lists this ribosomal RNA (454 nucleotides) under uncultured Prevotellaceae bacterium. RNAcentral describes it as "bacterial SSU rRNA". It matches the Rfam family "Bacterial small subunit ribosomal RNA", at positions 341 to 792 of the family's 1533-position model. Lineage: Bacteria; Pseudomonadati; Bacteroidota; Bacteroidia; Bacteroidales; Prevotellaceae. The record is from RNAcentral.
ACGGGAGGCAGCAGUGAGGAAUAUUGGUCAAUGGCCGGAAGGCUGAACCAGCCAAGUAGCGUGAGGGAUGACUGCCCUAUGGGUUGUAAACCUCUUUUGUCCGGGAAUAAAGUGGUCCACGCGUGGUCCAUUGCAUGUACCGGUCGAAUAAGCAUCGGCUAACUCCGUGCCAGCAGCCGCGGUAAUACGGAGGAUGCGAGCGUUAUCCGGAUUUAUUGGGUUUAAAGGGAGCGUAGGCGGAAGGUCAAGUCAGCUGUGAAAUGUAGUCGCUCAACGUCUGCACUGCAGUUGAAACUGGCCUCCUUGAGUGCGUAAGAGGCAGGCGGAAUUCGUCGUGUAGCGGUGAAAUGCUUAGAUAUGACGAAGAACUCCGAUUGCGAAGGCAGCUUGCUGGGCCGCAACUGACGCUGAAGCUCGAAGGUGCGGGUAUCAAACAGGAUUAGAUACCCUGGUA